CAAGACGUAGCUUUAACAAAAGCAUUCAGCUUACACCUGAAAGAUAUCUGAUAGCGCCAGAUCGUCUUGA
RNAcentral lists this transfer RNA (70 nucleotides) under Pachycephala pectoralis (golden whistler). Its description in RNAcentral is "tRNA-Val". RNAcentral also lists the same sequence under 3 other names. The record is from RNAcentral. Lineage: Eukaryota; Metazoa; Chordata; Aves; Passeriformes.